UAAAAUACAGCAAAUGUAACAAUUGGUGAUGUUACUGAGAUUAUACUAUUACACCAUCUGGAUUUCUGUUGUUUUCUACUGUAGAUCUAAGAGUAAUUACCUAAAUCCUCAUUCAGAGUGUAUUACUAUAAAAUGCAAUUCAUUGUGAGAGUAGUAUCACAUGUAAACUACAAUAUACAGCAUCAUUUUUAACUUAAGGAGUAAGUUGCAGCUACACUAUUUGAAGUAUUUGAAGUAUAACUGAAGUAUACUAAGAAGUACAAUGAAAUACCCAGCAAGCAUUGCAGUGCUUUAACUGUAAAAUUAAAACAACUAUGAAACAAAUAAUUGAUGUUUUAAACAAGAAUUUGUCAGAAAUUCUUGUGUAAUGUCUUUUACCUUCUGAACAGAGUAAGUGGGAUAAAAAAAAAUGUUUAAACCGUGAGUGAAAACGGUUAAUAGUUAAUAAAGCUCAACUCUCAAAUCAUUUUCUCACCUGUUUGCAAUAUAAUUCUGGUACUUGAACUAUGAGUGUAGUUCUCUGCAAAGGAAGCCUUCUGAUAGUUGGAACUAUUAUCUGACUGUCUGGGGAAUGGAGUGAUUUGUUACAUGUGAAAAAUGUGUUUCAACUGGAUUUUAAUUACUAUGUUUCAACCAGAAGUAACUCAAAUAUAAACUAAAAAGUAAAUCAAUAGUAUACUUGUAAGUUUAGUAUUGUGUUAGAGUAGAGUAUAUUUUAAGUAUACUCUUAUAGACUGGAAAGGACAUUAUGUUAGUACAGUUAUAGUGAACAAAAAGUACAUCCAAAAGUUCAUUUCAAGUAUACUUCUAUAUACUAAAACGGGGGCCAAUGUAGGUAACGUAUACUUAGACUGAUUUCCUUUCUAUAUGUUACAUUUAGACUAAUGUUUAAAAGUUACUUCAUUUAGCAGGGUGUAGCUUUUUACUCUUCUUAUUCUUUUUUAUACUGGAACUUCAUUUUUUCUGUAUAAGGUGGUACUUUUAAGACACCUCUGCCUAACUACAGUGAACUAACCAGAAGUCUCGGAAUAUGCUCUGGUGGUCAUUUUACACAAGUUCAGGUGUCACAUCCAUGAAACCUACACCACUAACCAGCAUCAGUCCUACAACUUCACUCUCAAAUUUAAUAAAUUCUGGGACAAGCAGAAACUGUAUUUUUAGCGGUGCAUUAAUGCACUCUCCUUGUAGCACCACUUCGUCUUGGUUCAGAAGAGAUGUCCUGGAUAUACAUGAUAAUGUAACACGGGUGUUUUUGUUUGUUCAUGUUUAGCACGUUGGGUUGUGUUUUUAAAGCGAAUGUUACGUUUUUAAAGCGUGUUAUGCGACAGGUGUGUGUAGCACUGGUUACACAUCUCAAUGGGAGAGCAUUAGUCGAGACCACACCUUUACCUGACGUACAACGUGACGUAUGGCGCACACUUUCAAAACAACAAUGGCGGAUAGAAGAUAUUGAUCGAGGCGGCUAAUGCUCCUUUCGCUGGUUGCCAACAACCAUUAAAUAACAAGAAGAAGAAAAUAUUGAUCUGCUUUUCUUAGUUUUGCACGUUUAAGACGCAAUUCAGACUCAAACAAAGCUGCAAAGCAGGAGAACAACAUGGCCAUCAACUAUUCUGUGCCACAGAUCCAGUUCGCUGCAGCACAGAGUGAUGAUGAGAUGGUGGAAGAACAACAGAGACAAUUUACGGACCGUUAAGAUGUGCAACUUAGAAGUAGUCAGAGGUAACUGGAUGGAGUUCAGUCAGGUUAAAUGCACGGUUGAUUGGAUUAUAUCUGAAGAUCGUAUGCUAUUCGUGACAACUCUACUUGACUCCAAAUUUCUCGUCCAUGAGGGAGUAUCUCAAAAGUAAAUGAAACAACUAAACUUAACACUUUUUCCCUAAAACGGACUGACAUGGGAAACAUUAAAGUUGGACUGACACCAGCUAAUCAGUCUGAAGAACAAGAAGGGAGACCACUGAGGAGAAGUUCUAUGAGUUCACGGGUGACCUCAGCUGUCAAGUUCCUGGAUGUGGAUGGCAACAGACCAGAGAACCUGAAUGACACCAUUACUCUGAAGCCUUGCCCUGCUGCAUCAGCUGAAACAUCAAGCCAUCCACGUCCACCCCUCCUCCUCCACGUCCACCACUAUGUACAACCAUUACUCCAGCUCUUGGGUCUCACACUUACAGAUUCCUUGGGAAAGAUUUCCACUCCGAUUGUCGCAUGCAAUCACAAGAGGGGACAGACCUCAUCCAGAGGACAGGAGAAGUCAGCUAAUAGUGAUAGAUGAUGAAUGAAUUAUCCCUAAGUAACUCAUUAUUUCAAAUCACAACUCAAUGUUACUGUAUGUUACUAUUUAUUGUGGCAUGUUUUAAGGUUUUUUGUAAGGAUAAACCCUGAAGAGGGAACAAAAUGUACCUCCAAGGUUGGGACAAGCAGAAAGACUGGGACCACUGUGAAGCGAAAGAUGAUCCAUGGCCCAUGCUUUCUGGACAUUUACACAAGACGAACAACAAUGAAGACAAGCUCUCUCGCCAUCUUGCAAGGCGCUGUCUCUGUCCAAUAGGUUUUUUGAGUGCAACAGUUUUGAUUUUUUUUUUCCUUCUUUUACCCGUUUGUUAAAAAUUAUUUCAGCUACUUACACUUUAGUUGUCACAUGUAUUGGCUCACCCUACAAAUCAAUUAACUCAGUCCACUAAGCAAGGUCAGGGUUCAGUGCAGGUCAGUCAAGUUCCUUCACACCACACACACUCAUCCAUGUCCUUGUGGACCCUGCUUUGUGCAUUGAUUUGGUGGUGUGAGCCAGUAUUUUGGAUAAAGUGUAUAUAAAGGCAGAAGUUUGGGGCUUGAUAUUCUAUUCAUUACAAUUCAGUUUAUUUGUAUGGUGCCAACAAAAUGAAUGCAAGGCACUUCACAUUGUAGGUUUAAGACCCUACAAAAUAUAACUGAGAAAACCCAACACUUGAGCAUAUGUUGUCUGCCAUGAUAUGGAUAUGACAUAAUAUCGUUAUUGUUUGUACAACCAUCUGAGAAAAUAAUGGAUUACAUGGUUUAGUAAAAACAAGUGCUUCCUCAGUGAAAAUAUGUUUUCAGUUCUUUUCAGUUUUUGUUUUUGGAAAUGUGUAUUUCAUCAGGGAAAAAUCAGAACAAAUAAAAAGUGGUGUGAAGCACAUGAA
Oreochromis niloticus (Nile tilapia) is the source of this 3155-nucleotide long non-coding RNA. RefSeq lists it as uncharacterized. The record is from RefSeq and is a predicted model, not a curated record. The transcript has 4 exons. Lineage: Eukaryota; Metazoa; Chordata; Actinopteri; Cichliformes; Cichlidae.